RNAcentral lists this ribosomal RNA (1372 nucleotides) under uncultured bacterium. RNAcentral's name for it is "bacterial SSU rRNA". It matches the Rfam family "Bacterial small subunit ribosomal RNA", at positions 28 to 1381 of the family's 1533-position model. The record is from RNAcentral.
GAUGAACGCUGGCGGCGUGCCUAAUACAUGCAAGUCGAGCGAACAGAUAAGGAGCUUGCUCCUUUGAAGUUAGCGGCGGACGGGUGAGUAACACGUGGGUAACCUACCUAUAAGACUGGGAUAACUUCGGGAAACCGGAGCUAAUACCGGAUAACAUUUAGAACCGCAUGGCUCUAAAGUGAAAGAUGGUUUUGCUAUCACUUAUAGAUGGACCCGCGCCGUAUUAGCUAGUUGGUAAGGUAACGGCUUACCAAGGCGACGAUACGUAGCCGACCUGAGAGGGUGAUCGGCCACACUGGAACUGAGACACGGUCCAGACUCCUACGGGAGGCAGCAGUAGGGAAUCUUCCGCAAUGGGCGAAAGCCUGACGGAGCAACGCCGCGUGAGUGAUGAAGGGUUUCGGCUCGUAAAACUCUGUUAUUAGGGAAGAACAAAUGUGUAAGUAACUGUGCACAUCUUGACGGUACCUAAUCAGAAAGCCACGGCUAACUACGUGCCAGCAGCCGCGGUAAUACGUAGGUGGCAAGCGUUAUCCGGAAUUAUUGGGCGUAAAGCGCGCGUAGGCGGUUUCUUAAGUCUGAUGUGAAAGCCCACGGCUCAACCGUGGAGGGUCAUUGGAAACUGGGAAACUUGAGUGCAGAAGAGGAAAGUGGAAUUCCAUGUGUAGCGGUGAAAUGCGCAGAGAUAUGGAGGAACACCAGUGGCGAAGGCGACUUUCUGGUCUGUAACUGACGCUGAUGUGCGAAAGCGUGGGGAUCAAACAGGAUUAGAUACCCUGGUAGUCCACGCCGUAAACGAUGAGUGCUAAGUGUUAGGGGGUUUCCGCCCCUUAGUGCUGCAGCUAACGCAUUAAGCACUCCGCCUGGGGAGUACGACCGCAAGGUUGAAACUCAAAGGAAUUGACGGGGACCCGCACAAGCGGUGGAGCAUGUGGUUUAAUUCGAAGCAACGCGAAGAACCUUACCAAAUCUUGACAUCCUUUGAAAACUCUAGAGAUAGAGCCUUCCCCUUCGGGGGACAAAGUGACAGGUGGUGCAUGGUUGUCGUCAGCUCGUGUCGUGAGAUGUUGGGUUAAGUCCCGCAACGAGCGCAACCCUUAAGCUUAGUUGCCAUCAUUAAGUUGGGCACUCUAGGUUGACUGCCGGUGACAAACCGGAGGAAGGUGGGGAUGACGUCAAAUCAUCAUGCCCCUUAUGAUUUGGGCUACACACGUGCUACAAUGGACAAUACAAAGGGCAGCUAAACCGCGAGGUCAUGCAAAUCCCAUAAAGUUGUUCUCAGUUCGGAUUGUAGUCUGCAACUCGACUACAUGAAGCUGGAAUCGCUAGUAAUCGUAGAUCAGCAUGCUACGGUGAAUACGUUCCCGGGUCU